CGUGUAGGCGGGCCUUCAAGUCGGAUGUGAAAACCGGUGGCUUAACCACCGGCCUGCAUUCGAUACUGUUGGUCUUGAGUACGAGAGAGGAAAGCGGGAUUCCAGGUGUAGCGGUGAAAUGCGUAGAUAUCUGGAAGAACACCAGUAGCGAAGGCGGCUUUCUGGCUCGAUACUGACGCUGAAGCGCGAAGGCUAGGGGAGCAAACA
Molecule: ribosomal RNA, 207 nt
Filed under: uncultured bacterium
Lineage: Bacteria
Description: partial 16S ribosomal RNA
Rfam family: Bacterial small subunit ribosomal RNA
Source: RNAcentral